UACAGGGGUGCGAACAGUUGCUCGGAAUCAUUGGGCGUAAAGCGCACGUAGGCGGUUCUGUUAUGUCGGAAUGUGAAAGCCCUUGGCUCAACUGACGGAAGUGCAUCCGAAACUGGCGGAAGCUAGAGUAGCUAAGAGGAUCGCGGAAUUCCCGGUGUAGAGGUGAAAUUCGUAGAUAUCGGAAGGAACGACCGGUGGCGAAAGCGGCGAGCGCUGGAUCCCGUACUGAACGCU
Molecule: ribosomal RNA, 234 nt
Filed under: uncultured bacterium
Lineage: Bacteria
Description: partial 16S ribosomal RNA
Rfam family: Bacterial small subunit ribosomal RNA
Source: RNAcentral